Molecule: transfer RNA, 63 nt
Filed under: Sinosolenaia oleivora
Lineage: Eukaryota; Metazoa; Mollusca; Bivalvia; Unionida; Unionidae
Description: tRNA-Tyr
Source: RNAcentral
AGCAAAGUGGCCGAGAUUUAGGCAAAAGAUUGUAGCUCUUUACACGGAUCACUCCCUUUGUAA